Molecule: ribosomal RNA, 484 nt
Filed under: uncultured bacterium
Lineage: Bacteria
Description: partial 16S ribosomal RNA
Rfam family: Bacterial small subunit ribosomal RNA
Source: RNAcentral
AUUGAACGCUGGCGGCAGGCUUAACACAUGCAAGUCGAGCGGAUGAAGGGAGCUUGCUCCUGGAUUCAGCGGCGGACGGGUGAGUAAUGCCUAGGAAUCUGCCUGGUAGUGGGGGAUAACGUCCGGAAACGGGCGCUAAUACCGCAUACGUCCUGAGGGUGAAAGUGGGGGAUCUUCGGACCUCACGCUAUCAGAUGAGCCUAGGUCGGAUUAGCUAGUUGGUGGGGUAAAGGCCUACCAAGCCGACGAUCCGUAACUGGUCUGAGAGGAUGAUCAGUCACACUGGAACUGAGACACGGUCCAGACUCCUACGGGAGGCAGCAGUGGGGAAUAUUGGACAAUGGGCGAAAGCCUGAUCCAGCCAUGCCGCGUGUGUGAAGAAGGUCUUCGGAUUGUAAAGCACUUUAAGUUGGGAGGAAGGGCAGUAAGUUAAUACCUUGCUGUUUUGACGUUACCGACAGAAUAAGCACCGGCUAACUUCGUG